This 253-nucleotide ribosomal RNA is filed under the name uncultured bacterium. RNAcentral's name for it is "partial 16S ribosomal RNA". It matches the Rfam family "Bacterial small subunit ribosomal RNA", at positions 524 to 776 of the family's 1533-position model. The record is from RNAcentral.
UACGUAGGGGGCUAGCGUUGUCCGGAUUUAUUGGGCGUAAAGAGCGUGUAGGCGGCCAGGUAGGUCUGCUGUGAAAACUCGAGGCUCAACCUCGAGACGUCGGCGGAAACCAUCUGGCUAGAGUCCGGAAGAGGAGAGUGGAAUUCCUGGUGUAGCGGUGAAAUGCGCAGAUAUCAGGAAGAACACCAACGGCGAAGGCAGCUCGCUGGGACGGAACUGACGCUAAGGCGCGAAAGCGUGGGGAGCGAACAGG